This 253-nucleotide ribosomal RNA is filed under the name uncultured bacterium. Its description in RNAcentral is "partial 16S ribosomal RNA". It matches the Rfam family "Bacterial small subunit ribosomal RNA", at positions 524 to 776 of the family's 1533-position model. The record is from RNAcentral.
UACGUAGGGAGCAAGCGUUGUCCGGAAUCAUUGGGCGUAAAGCGCGCGUAGGCGGCCCGAUAAGUCCGCUGUGAAAGUCAACGGCUCAACUGUUGGAUGCCGGUGGAUACUGUCGGGCUAGAGUACGGAAGAGGCAAGUGGAAUUCCUGGUGUAACGGUGGAAUGCGCAGAUAUCAGGAGGAACACCUAUAGCGAAGGCAGCUUGCUGGGACGUUACUGACGCUAAGGCGCGAAAGCGUGGGGAGCGAACAGG